RNAcentral lists this ribosomal RNA (445 nucleotides) under uncultured bacterium. RNAcentral's name for it is "partial 16S ribosomal RNA". It matches the Rfam family "Bacterial small subunit ribosomal RNA", at positions 338 to 795 of the family's 1533-position model. The record is from RNAcentral.
CCUACGGGUGGCUGCAGUGGGGAAUUUUGGACAAUGGGGGCAACCCUGAUCCAGCCAUUCCGCGUGAGUGAAGAAGGCCUUCGGGUUGUAAAGCUCUUUCGGCAGGAACGAAAAGGCUCUCUCUAACAUAGGGGGUCAAUGACGGUACCUGAAGAAGAAGCACCGGCUAACUACGUGCCAGCAGCCGCGGUAAUACGUAGGGUGCGAGCGUUAAUCGUAAGUAGGCGGCGUAAAACGUGCGCAGGCGGCUCCCCGGGCUUAACCUGGGAACGGCGUUUGUGACUGCAAGGCUUGAGUGCGGCAGAGGGGGGUGGAAUUCCACGUGUAGCAGUGAAAUGCGUAGAGAUGUGGAGGAACACCGAUGGCGAAGGCAGCCCCCUGGGUCGACACUGACGCUCAUGCACGAAAGCGUGGGUAGCAAACAGGAUUAGAUACCCUUGUAGUC